Molecule: ribosomal RNA, 492 nt
Filed under: uncultured bacterium
Lineage: Bacteria
Description: partial 16S ribosomal RNA
Rfam family: Bacterial small subunit ribosomal RNA
Source: RNAcentral
AGUGAACGCUGGCGGUAGGCCUAACACAUGCAAGUCGAACGGCAGCACAGUAAGAGCUUGCUCUUACGGGUGGAGAGUGGCGGACGGGUGAGGAAUACAUCGGAAUCUACUUUUUCGUGGGGGAUAACGUAGGGAAACUUACGCUAAUACCGCAUUCGACCUACGGGUGAAAGCAGGGGAUCUUCGGACCUUGCGCGAUUGACUGAGCCGAUGUCGGAUUAGCUAGUUGGCGGGGUAAAGGCCCACCAAGGCGACGAUCCGUAGCUGGUCUGAGAGGAUGAUCAGCCACACUGGAACGGAGACACGGUCCAGACGCCUACGGGAGGCAGCAGUGGGGAAUAUUGGACAAUGGGCGCAAGCCUGAUCCAGCCAUACCGCGUGGGUGAAGAAGGCCUUCGGGUUGUAAAGCCCUUUUGUUGGGAAAGAAAAGCAGCAGGUUAAUACCCCGCUGUUCUGACGGUACCCAAAGAAUAAGCACCGGCUAACUUCGUG